RNAcentral lists this ribosomal RNA (254 nucleotides) under uncultured bacterium. RNAcentral's name for it is "partial 16S ribosomal RNA". It matches the Rfam family "Bacterial small subunit ribosomal RNA", at positions 524 to 776 of the family's 1533-position model. The record is from RNAcentral.
UACGUAGGGGGCAAGCGUUGUCCGGAUUCAUUGGGCGUAAAGAGCUCGUAGGCGGUUCGGCAAGUCGGGUGUGAAAACUCUAGGCUCAACCUAGAGACGCCACCCGAUACUGCUGUGACUUGAGUCCGGUAGGGGACCACGGAAUUCCUGGUGUAGCGGUGAAAUGCGCAGAUAUCAGGAGGAACACCGGUGGCGAAGGCGGGUCUCUGGGCCGAUAUUGACGCUGAGGAGCGAAAGCGUGGGGAGCGAACAGG